RNAcentral lists this ribosomal RNA (442 nucleotides) under Parvimonas micra. RNAcentral's name for it is "bacterial SSU rRNA". It matches the Rfam family "Bacterial small subunit ribosomal RNA", at positions 28 to 453 of the family's 1533-position model. The record is from RNAcentral. Lineage: Bacteria; Bacillati; Bacillota; Tissierellia; Tissierellales; Peptoniphilaceae.
GACGAACGCUGGCGGCGUGCUUAACACAUGCAAGUCGAACGUGAUUUUUGUGGAAAUUCUUUCGGGAAUGGAAAUGAAAUGAAAGUGGCGAACGGGUGAGUAACACGUGAGCAACCUACCUUACACAGGGGGAUAGCCGUUGGAAACGACGAUUAAUACCGCAUGAGACCACAGAAUCGCAUGAUAUAGGGGUCAAAGAUUUAUCGGUGUAAGAAGGGCUCGCGUCUGAUUAGCUAGUUGGAAGGGUAAAGGCCUACCAAGGCGACGAUCAGUAGCCGGUCUGAGAGGAUGAACGGCCACAUUGGAACUGAGACACGGUCCAAACUCCUACGGGAGGCAGCAGUGGGGAAUAUUGCACAAUGGGGGGAACCCUGAUGCAGCGACGCCGCGUGAGCGAAGAAGGUUUUCGAAUCGUAAGGCUCUGUCCUAUGAGAAGAUAAUG